RNAcentral lists this ribosomal RNA (795 nucleotides) under Acrocalymma sp. DNW-2020a. RNAcentral's name for it is "partial large subunit ribosomal RNA". It matches the Rfam family "Eukaryotic large subunit ribosomal RNA", at positions 91 to 908 of the family's 3401-position model. Lineage: Eukaryota; Fungi; Ascomycota; Dothideomycetes; Pleosporales; Acrocalymmaceae. The record is from RNAcentral.
GAGUGAAGCGGCAACAGCUCAAAUUUGAAAUCUGAUCUCUUCGAGGUCCGAGUUGUAAUUUGUAGAGGGCGCUUUGGUGUUGGCUGCGGUCUAAGUUCCUUGGAACAGGACGUCAUAGAGGGUGAGAAUCCCGUCUGUGGUCGCAUGUCUUCACCGUGUAAAGCCCCUUCGACGAGUCGAGUUGUUUGGGAAUGCAGCUCUAAAUGGGAGGUAAAUUUCUUCUAAAGCUAAAUACUGGCCAGAGACCGAUAGCGCACAAGUAGAGUGAUCGAAAGAUGAAAAGCACUUUGGAAAGAGAGUUAAAAAGCACGUGAAAUUGUUGAAAGGGAAGCGCUUGCAGCCAGACUUGCUUGCAGUUGCUCAUCCGGGCGUUCGCCCGGUGCACUCUUCUGUAGGCAGGCCAGCAUCAGUUUGGGCGGUUGGAUAAAGGCCUCUGUCAUGUAUCUUCUCCGGAAGACCUUAUAGGGGAGGCGUAAUGCAACCAGCCUGGACUGAGGUCCGCGCAUCUGCUAGGAUGCUGGCGUAAUGGCUGUAAGCGGCCCGUCUUGAAACACGGACCAAGGAGUCUAACAUCUAUGCGAGUGUUUGGGUGUCAAGCCCGAGCGCGCAAUGAAAGUGAACGGAGGUGGGAACCUUAGGGUGCACCAUCGACCGAUCCUGAUGUCUUCGGAUGGAUUUGAGUAAGAGCAUAGCUGUUGGGACCCGAAAGAUGGUGAACUAUGCUUGAAUAGGGUGAAGCCAGAGGAAACUCUGGUGGAGGCUCGCAGCGGUUCUGACGUGCAAAUCGAUCGUCAA